This is a long non-coding RNA of Carassius carassius (crucian carp), 912 nucleotides long. RefSeq lists it as uncharacterized. Lineage: Eukaryota; Metazoa; Chordata; Actinopteri; Cypriniformes; Cyprinidae. The record is from RefSeq and is a predicted model, not a curated record. The transcript has 3 exons.
UGUCUCGGGCCUCCAUAUGCGCACCUUAUUAAGCCUGUUUGCACUUGAAAACAGGAAGCUUGGAGUUGUAGAGAAGCCAGACACAAAGUGCAUUAUAAAGAUGGAAUUUAUAGCUAGAUUGACAUGGAAGGACUGAUUGUAUUACUGUACAAAAAAUAUAUAACCAGAUGCACAGCACAUCAAAACCAGAACCCUGGGGAAUGGAAAACGUUUGCGGCUGAAGCAUUAAACUACUCGCGGAGGAACAUUGUUUUGGUAGUUUCGGCUCCACUAUUCUGCACGGAUGAAUCUGUCACCACUGCUAAUGUUUCCAGACACCAAAACUCUCCCAAAUAAUCAAAGAAGAAGGAAAAUGAAAGAAUCUGAAAAUUGUUUGAUGAGCUGGAAUGAACAUCUGUGACAUCUAGAAGAAACAUUUGAGACAUUGUUGACUCUUAAAUGGGCUCUCCAUUAUGUCACCUGAGCUACAAAACAGAAAGCUCUUGUCAUGAUUACAAGGGAAUACUGACAUUUACACCAGGUACGCACUAACACACCCUAAUGCUGAGGAUGCUGGAAAAUGUUCUCAUUCUGCAUGAACAAAGCAGUGUUCUUUACAGAGUUCUGGGCUUUCCGCCCAUGUUUUUGAUCCAAGGAUUUAAGGCAUUCUGACAACAUGGAACAUUUGUGAGAUUACUGUAGGGAGUGAUUCUGUUCCGGCUGGCGGAAGGAUUCAAGUUCAGCUGGUUCCCCUUCAAGUCAGGCAUCAUUACAGACAUCCUGCGGAGGCAGAAGGGCUUUCUAAAACGGACCAUUUCCAGGUUCUCAUGCAGUCACAACAGAGAGCUCACAAUCUCCAUUUCACUUAGAGAGCCAUGUGAUGUCAAAUAAAUGUACUGGAUUUAAUAAAUGUUAACUUUUAAUCACAUCUUU